RNAcentral lists this unclassified non-coding RNA (233 nucleotides) under uncultured fungus. RNAcentral describes it as "sequence contains ITS1, 5.8S rRNA gene". The stretch from base 185 to 233 matches the Rfam family "5.8S ribosomal RNA", at positions 1 to 49 of the family's 154-position model. The record is from RNAcentral. Lineage: Eukaryota; Fungi.
UUUUCGUAGGUGAACCUGCGGAAGGAUCAUUACAGAGUACUCCCUCGGGAGCAUCUCCACCCUGUGCGAACCAACUUAGUUGCUUUGGCGGGCCGCGCUUCGCCGCCGGCUCAGCUGGCGAGUGCCCGCCAGAGGCUUUUUACAUUCUGUUUACAUGAGUCUGAGCGAGAAAUUAAUAGCGAAAAACUUUCAACAACGGAUCUCUUGGUUCUGGCAUCGAUGAAGAACGCAGC